RNAcentral lists this ribosomal RNA (492 nucleotides) under uncultured bacterium. RNAcentral's name for it is "partial 16S ribosomal RNA". It matches the Rfam family "Bacterial small subunit ribosomal RNA", at positions 29 to 507 of the family's 1533-position model. The record is from RNAcentral.
AGUGAACGCUGGCGGUAGGCCUAACACAUGCAAGUCGAACGGCAGCACAGUAAGAGCUUGCUCUUACGGGUGGCGAGUGGCGGACGGGUGAGGAAUACAUCGGAAUCUACUUUUUCGUGGGGGAUAACGUAGGGAAACUUACGCUAAUACCGCAUACGACCUACGGGUGAAGGCAUGGGAUCUUCGGACCUUGCGCGAUUGAAUGAGCCGAUGUCGGAUUAGCUAGUUGGCGGGGUAAAGGCCCAGCAAGGCGAGGAUCCGUAGCUGGUCUGAGAGGAUGAUCAGCCACACUGGAACUGAGACACGGUCCAGACUCCUACGGGACGCAGCAGUGGGGAAUAUUAGACAAUGGGCACAAGCCUGAUCCAGCCAUACCGCGUGGGUGAAGAAGGCCUUCGGGUUGUAAAGCCCUUUUGUUGGGAAAGAAAAGCAGCAGGUUAAUACCCCGCUGUUCUGACGGUACCCAAAGAAUAAGCACCGGCUAACUUCGUG